Long non-coding RNA from Felis catus (domestic cat), 4012 nucleotides. RefSeq lists it as uncharacterized. The transcript has 5 exons. Lineage: Eukaryota; Metazoa; Chordata; Mammalia; Carnivora; Felidae. The record is from RefSeq and is a predicted model, not a curated record.
GCUACCUCUUAGGUAAAAGGGUUCCAGAACUGAAAAUGCAUUCAGGUGUGGGGACUGAGCAACAAAUGCUUGCCUCCUACUCCCUCAUCACUGGGACAAGAUCCCCAAGUAUAUGAUUGAGACCCUGUCUGGGGAGUGGAUAACUUCAACUGCAGAAAGAACAGAUGGAAACUGGCAUAGAUGAGGCAUGCACUUACUUUCACGGAGCAGGAGAGAGGACCAGCAUGGUGCUGGACAUGGCAUUGGGUCUCCAGAAGGAUGAGGACUCCAUCUUCCAAGACCAUGGUCCAUGGAAUGAGGGCCAAUGAGCACCAUCCUUUUAAGGGGGCCACAGGCAACAGGAAUCCUUAUGGAUAAACCAGAUUACAUAUACGGGAACAUUCACAAGAACACCCUUAUAAUAACCAGCUACUGGAAAAAAAACUCAAAUGUCUAUGGACAGAAGAAUGGAUGAAUAAAUUGUGGGCUGUCAUGGUGGAAGCAGAUAACCCAAUGAAAGUAAAUUCACAUUAAAGGAAGAAAGGUUAUUAAUGGUUUAGUGUGCUAUCUCCCAGAUGAUUUAUCUUUUAUUGAGAAGCUUUCAGAAACAUUCAAAUGUUCCUGAUUAAAAAAAGAAAAAUUGGAAAUAUCCACCUGAAGGUCAGUCAGUGAGGGAACUGUAUUUGAGUGAAGAGCUUUCUACUUGGGCCUCUCAAACAAGACAACUCUGGCCACUUCAAUCAAAGCAAGAAUAUGUCCGCAGCCUCAGGUCACCACAAGAUGGGAUUUGGAAUUGGUUUUGUUGUUAUACAGUCCCAGACACCAAGGUGUUCCCAGCGGCUGUAUCUUAAUGUAGAUUGGGAACAAAGGACAUGUUAGAACUGCCAAGUACCACAGUCAACCUCUCAAAUGCUAUCAGCUUUGCCUGCAUCAGACAUCAGUGAAGAGAGUGAAACACGUGAAUAAAAGCAAAAGGUCUGUAAUAUGCAGGACUUUAUUAGGCAGUUCUGAGUGAACUCCAAACAAAAUGUGCAAAAAGAUGAGGCAUCCCGGAAAGACACCUCUAAUCAAGUCCGUGUGCCUUAGUGAAGCUCUACAUCACAAAGGAAACAGAAAACAGAGUCCAGAUUGGGAAAGGUGUUCGUCUUCCGCCAGUACAACAUUCUUACUCCCUACAAAUUUACUGAAUCUAUAAAGACCUGAAGUUAAGCUCCUCCCAAGGCCAGAUUCAAUGUAAGCGCUGGUUCUGUGCAUUUAAUUAAUGAUCUUUGUAAAUAUUUGGAAGAUUGAAAUCGAUUGCAUGUGCUCGGCAUUUCUGCAGGCAUAGAUUCCAAACUUUAAGCAAGGAGACUGCCCCUUUCCGAUUUCAUCCGUGGUAGUUGAGGCGAAUUCGUCCUGUAAAUGCACAUCCUGACGCAUGAAGCAAAGGGCCAGGCUCCCCAAUUCCUUUCAAGGUUUUUAGCAGUCUUCAUUGAAAUAAAUGUACCGGAAACAGCAGAAGUAGAAAAUGGCACAAGGCGAUAACGUUUGCAUAAAGAAGCCAUUAGGAAGGUGUGCCAAUGGAACAAUUGUGUGAUGUUGCAUAACAAAUGCACACUUUCCUUUAGUUAUUUUAAAGAUUCCAUUUAUCUAGUGUUUUUUUUUUUUUUUUGCAUUUAAAGAGCAUGAUGCUGAAUGAUUCUCCAUUCCUGAGAUGCCAGCACUUCUUGAAAAAACAUUCACAGAAUGAUUCAAAGCAUAAUAAAAGAGUAAAUCCAAUGUAAUAUUUAUCCAGCCUGAAUUUUCAGCUUUAAUACAUCCAAAGCCACCCCAUCCCCCAAUUUGCACAAUCACAGCUUAAUAAAGCACAUAUUUUAAACAGGCUGUUAAAAAUUGGUGAGAAAAGCCAGAAACAGAGCCACAGAACUCCCCCAAAUGCCUCCAAGAUGGAGACCACAUAGACUAGAAACUGGCUGGAACUUUCUAAGUCCCUCUCUAGGGUAGGAGCUGAAAGGUCUCCAUCCCACUGAAGGCAGAGCAGGGGUGGUCCUGGGGAAAGGCUAAAUUCAGUUCACUGUUCAAAGAAGAAUUCAUGCAAAUGCUUAAUAAGUACAUGGAAAAGGCAGCCUCACAAGUAAUCAAGAACACAGAUUAAAAGGAGAAAUAUGUUUCUUGUCUAUCAAAUUAGCAACUAGUACAUGGCCUUCUAACUGGUUUUGCUUCCAUACUUGCCACCCUACUGUCUCAUCUGAGAUGCAUACAGCAGCCUGAGUGAUGCUGAUAAAUCUUGAGAAGCAUGGAGUAGCUUCUCUGGACUUCCUAGCCUUGGUUUCCCAAUAAGAACAACCCUCCAUCACCUCCUGCUGACUGGUGGCCACUCCAAGCACCUACUCAUCUCUUUCCCCUUCUUGCUGCUCUAUUUACAGCUUUCCCACCAGCCCUUGAAACUGUGGAGCAACACCAACCUCCUGGCCCUUGUACCUGCUCUCCCGGCUGUCUGGAAUGCUAUUUCCUUGGAUCCUCACAAGGCUUCAUUUCUCUCUGUUCUGGACUUAGAUGUUGUCUACCUAAACUAUUUAGAUAGCACCUCCACUGAAACAGCAUCACCCCACCAGCUCCCUACCCUGCUUUACUUUCUUCAUAGAACGUAUCCAUCCCUGCAUAACAGUCUACUCUAUGUUUAUUUACUUUCCCUGUCUUCCCACAAGAUCUGAGUGUCUGGAGGACAGGAAAUUCUUUUUGUUGUUGUUUGUGACUAUAUCUCAAGUGCCCAGAACAGCACACAAUAAAUAUAUGCCAAUGGAAUGGCUUUCAGUGGCUCAACCCAGGAUCAUCAAGGCUAUUCUACCUGUGUUCCCACGCAAGGAAGGUGGAGAAAGAUGUGGGCACAGUCAUGAUAGGAAAUCAUCUGGCAAUGCUAUCCAACACCUGCAAAGAGUUUAUUUUUUUUAUUCAGUUUACCUGCUUUCAGAAACUUACACCGGAACAAUAAUCAAAACAUUCAGGUGAAGAUUUCAAUAUAAAGAUACUUACUAAAGUAUUAUUUGUGACUAUGACAAAUGGAAAUGACUGGAUAAAUAGCAAUACUCCUAAUAUAGAAUGGCUACCACUUUUUCAGAAGUUAUUAAGUGUUGGGUAAAAGGCUAAGUUUUUAAAAUACUCCACAAACUAGUUGUAUCCAAUUUACAGAUGAGGGCACUGAGGUAACUUGUCCAAGGCAUCAUUUGAUGAGUUUUAUGAAGCAUGGGGCCUCAAGUUCUUGCUGCCUGGACUGAGCUAAGAAAUAAUAAAUUGGAUCUGACUUACAAAACAAUGCCAAGCAUUUGGUCUUACUUGGGGGGGAGGCUGCCAAGGUGAGUGGGGAGGCAAGGGUACCCUUGAGUGGCAGGGAUCAUGGUUGUUCUUUCAGCUCUAAACAAUCCCAGAUCCCCCAGGCCGUGCACUGGGAACUCAGUCUCCCCAGGCCUCUGAAGUUCGAUGUGCGCAGCCCGAAGACUUUUGCAAACAUUUAUCACUGACCUUUAAUAGAUCAACAUUAAGCAAACAAACUUCUUCCUCUACACCCCCCUGCUCUCCCUUCUUCCUAUUGUUGCCAGGGUCAAUGGUUUCCUCUGAGUCCCCGAACCGAUCUCCGUGGAGUCUCACUCAUUUCCUGUCCAGGGAGCCUUGGCAUCUGAUCUGCAGUCCAGAAGCGGGCUGGGGAGCCAGCAGCCCCAGGGUCUGUUUCUCCUUAUUGUCUUCAGGGAGACCGUGGGCUCCCCUCCCACCCCACGCACUGUCACGGGAACCAAGCCCUCGGGUAGGAGGCCAUCUGGCCCUGCUGCCAGACCUGUUGAUGGGUUGGCUUCCACCCCUUGUUCCUGCCUCCCACCACACCCUUCAUGCCCCCAUCCACAAGAGGAAACAGCGUCCCAUAUGCUUGCAGCUUCGUUGACUCUUCUAGUCCUCAGCUCCAGAUGGUCUGGAUUCACUUUUCGAAAUGGCUCUGUCUCUAAUUCCCCAUUUAUUGUUCAUGUGCUCAUUUUAAGAUUGUGGCCCAUUAAAAAAAAAAAAA